Molecule: long non-coding RNA, 1184 nt
Filed under: Carica papaya (papaya)
Lineage: Eukaryota; Viridiplantae; Streptophyta; Magnoliopsida; Brassicales; Caricaceae
Description: long non-coding RNA (CPAP_LNC007122)
Source: RNAcentral
AAGCUCAGAUGUUUGAUUACCUGCAUGCCAAACUACUGUGUUGUUCUGAUCUGGUUUUAUUGUUAUGUGGUUUGCUAGAGGACCCCAUUGAUCCCGCCUCCUACACCAACCUGUGGUCAGCACAUUCCUUCGUAGUGCUCUUUCAUGGAUCUUUGGUGCAUAUGGUGAUCCCAAGCUAGAACCAGGGAUUUAAUUGUAGUCAGUUUCUUCCCAUUUAAGACUAUCCUGGAUAUAGCAUAGAAGCACCAGCUAACUGAAAAUACUAUUUGUAACCCUCCAAGCUAAAGGACAAUUAGCCCAACAAUUUUAUAUGACUAAAUCAUCGGUCUUCAAAAGUUUAAGUUCAAAUUAUUGAUUCCUAGUGAAUUGAGUCUUUAUUCUCAACAAGCACAUAUAUUUUCAAUUAGAAUAACAAUAUCAUAAUUCUUUCACUUAAAGUUUUGAUGUUCCCAUCAAGAUCAUAUAUCUCCAUUACAAAUCAAAGUAAAAGCUCACGAAGUUCAGGACUGUAUUAACGUAAUCAAUAGGCUAUUAUUUUUCUUAAAAGAAACAUAGUCCAUAGGCUUGAAUGUGCUCUAAAUCAUAUAAAUCUCUUGAUACCGUGCACCUGAAAUGACUCCCUAAGUAGAGGAACCUAGUGUCCUUGUUAAUUCAUGUUUUUUUUUGUUGUAUUUGGUUUUCUAGUCUUCUUUGAUUCUUCAUUAUCUUUGGAACGUUCUACAAAUCAAAAUCUGAAAAUAGUAAACAUUGUGCCAAACUGAUAAAAUUAACAAUCUCCCAAUUACUUAGUAGUUUCAUUGCCAAAUCCAUGAACAGGAAAUAUGAGGUCAGUUCCAUAUGAUGUGUAUUCUAUCAGUUCAUGGUGAGUGUUGAAGGUAGAAAUGAGAGACAGCCUGAACAGAUUGUCUCUAGUAAAAUAUGAAUUGGAACUCACAGCUAUUUUGCUGGUUCUGGAAUGGACGUAAAUUGUAAUGUCAAGUUGAUGAUCAUGAGUGGUCACGUGAUCUCAUGUCCUUCUGGUGGGAUAGAUUUUUGCUCAAGUUUAACCUGGUUUUAACUCUACAAUAAAUUAGAGCUUUAUAUUUUACUUGUUAAUAUCUCUUGCAUCUUAUUUAUAAGUAAACCCAUGGGUGGUUGUGGGUUCUCGAAAAUGACUUAAUGAUUAUUUUGCUAGAGGAGUUUUC